RNAcentral lists this ribosomal RNA (496 nucleotides) under uncultured bacterium. RNAcentral describes it as "partial 16S ribosomal RNA". It matches the Rfam family "Bacterial small subunit ribosomal RNA", at positions 28 to 506 of the family's 1533-position model. The record is from RNAcentral.
GAUGAACGCUGGCGGCGUGCCUAAUACAUGCAAGUCGAGCGAACGGACGAGAAGCUUGCUUCUCUGAUGUUAGCGGCGGACGGGUGAGUAACACGUGGAUAACCUACCUAUAAGACUGGGAUAACUUCGGGAAACCGGAGCUAAUACCGGAUAAUAUUUUGAACCGCAUGGUUCAAAAGUGAAAGACGGUCUUGCUGUCACUUAUAGAUGGACCCGCGCUGCAUUAGCUAGUUGGUAAGGUAACGGCUUACCAAGGCAACGAUGCAUAGCCGACCUGAGAGGGUGAUCGGCCCCACUGAAACUGAGACACGGUCCAGACUCCUACGGGAGGCAGCAGUAGGGAAUCUUCCGCAAUGGGCGAAAGCCUGACGGAGCAACGCCGCGUGAGUGAUGAAGGUCUUCGGCUCGUAAAACUCUGUUAUUAGGGAAGAACAUAUGUGUAAGUAACUGUGCACAUCUUGACGGUACCUAAGCAGAAAGCCACGGCUAACUACGU